GGACUACCAGGGUUUCUAAUCCCGUUUGCUCCCCUGGCCUUCGUGUCUCAGUGUCAGGAACUGUCCAGAGACCCGCCUUCGCCACUGGUCUUCCUUACGAUAUCUACGCAUUUCACUGCUACACCGUAAAUUCCAGUCUCCUCUCCAGUCCUCAAGCACCGCAGUAUGGAAUGCAGUUUCGGAGUUAAGCUCCGAAAUUUCACACCCCACUUACGGCGCCACCUACACACCCUUUACGCCCAAUGAAUCCGAACAACGCUUGAGACCUCUGUAUUACCGCGGCUGCUGGCAC
Molecule: ribosomal RNA, 292 nt
Filed under: uncultured Verrucomicrobiota bacterium
Lineage: Bacteria; Pseudomonadati; Verrucomicrobiota
Description: uncultured Verrucomicrobia bacterium partial 16S ribosomal RNA
Source: RNAcentral